This 238-nucleotide long non-coding RNA is filed under the name Gallus gallus (chicken). The record is from RNAcentral. Lineage: Eukaryota; Metazoa; Chordata; Aves; Galliformes; Phasianidae.
CCAGUUAUGUGCCCCUAACAACAAGUAUGUUUCAAAGAACCAUUGGCAAAUAAAAUACCAGCUAUAUAUUUAGCAAAUCAAGCAAACAAGCUCAAUGGACCAGCCUUUAUGUAGCUGAAGGGGUAACCAUGUGCUCAGCUAAGCAGCAAGGAUUUUAAAUAUUGGGAUGCAGGCUGAAAGCUUUGUUUCACUUGGAAUGAUGAACAGAAGAAAACGCAGCAGAAGAACAUGAUUCCUG